GGGGUGAAGUCGUAACAAGGUAGCCGUAUCGGAAGGUGCGGCUGGAUCACCUCCUUUCUAGAGAAUAAAUCUCUCUAUAAGCAUUCACACUUAUCAGUUGUUGGUAGCACAAAGAAUUUAAGUAAUUGGCCCUGUUUAGGGUCUGUAGCUCAGCUGGUUAGAGCACCGUGUUGAUAACGCGGGGGUCGUUGGUUCGAGCCCAACCAGACCCACCAGUUUUAAUUAAUAUGUAACUUAAAAUGGGGGAUUAGCUCAGCUGGGAGAGCACCUGCUUUGCAAGCAGGGGGUCAUCGGUUCGAUCCCGUUAUCCUCCACCAAUUCUUUGUAUAAAAAAGGUAAGCCUUAAGCGUUUAUUAAAUUAAAUGUUUAAGGCUAGCUUUUUAGCUAGUAUGUUCUUUAACAAUAUGGAAGAAGUAAAUUAGAAAUCAUAAGAUUGUGAUGAGAUUAUGAUUUCAAAUGGGUAAUGAUUGCAAAAUCAAAUACUAAAUCAACACUUUGCAUCUAAAUUUUAUAUUUGGAUAAAAAGAGUUUUUAAAGUAAGCUUUAGAAGAAACUAUAAUGACCGUCUCAUGCGGGAAAACGUAAGUAGAAAAGGGCUUAGGUUUUAAAGUUAUAGGAUCAAGUGAAUAAGUGCAUAUGGUGAAUGCCUUGGCGAUUACAGGCGAUGAAGGACGUGGUAGUCUGCGAAAUUUUUCGGGGAGCUGGCAAACAAGCUUUGAUCCGGAAGUGU
This 730-nucleotide unclassified non-coding RNA is filed under the name uncultured marine bacterium. RNAcentral describes it as "partial contains 16S ribosomal RNA, 16S-23S ribosomal RNA intergenic spacer, and 23S ribosomal RNA". The stretch from base 617 to 730 matches the Rfam family "Bacterial large subunit ribosomal RNA", at positions 1 to 113 of the family's 2925-position model. The record is from RNAcentral.